UCAGAACGAACGCUGGCGGCGCGUCUUAAGCAUGCAAGUCGAACGGCAAGAGGUAGCAAUACCUCCUAGAGUGGCGGACUGGUGAGUAACACGUGGGUGACAUACCCUUCAGAUGGGGAUAGCUAUUAGAAAUAGUAGAUAAUACCGAAUACGAGCACAGGGGUUAGAGAUCUGUGAGGAAAGGAGCUAAGGCUCCGCUGAAGGAAUGGCCUGCGGCCCAUUAGCUAGUUGGUGAGGUAAGAGCCCACCAAGGCGAUGAUGGGUAUCCGGCCUUAGAGGGUGAACGGACACAUUGGGACUGAGAUACGGCCCAGACUCCUACGGGAGGCAGCAGCUAAGAAUAUUCCGCAAUGGACGAAAGUCUGACGGAGCGACGCCGCGUGGAUGAAGAAGGCCGGAAGGUUGUAAAAUCCUUUUGAAACUGAAGAAUAAGCGUUGUAGGGAAUGACAGCGUGGUGACAGUAGGUUUUGAAUAAGCAACGGCUAAUUACGUGCCAGCAGCCGC
This 505-nucleotide ribosomal RNA is filed under the name uncultured bacterium. RNAcentral describes it as "bacterial SSU rRNA". It matches the Rfam family "Bacterial small subunit ribosomal RNA", at positions 24 to 518 of the family's 1533-position model. The record is from RNAcentral.